This 321-nucleotide long non-coding RNA is filed under the name Elaeis guineensis (African oil palm). Its description in RNAcentral is "long non-coding RNA (EGUI_LNC060960)". Lineage: Eukaryota; Viridiplantae; Streptophyta; Magnoliopsida; Arecales; Arecaceae. The record is from RNAcentral.
GUGACGCUCAAGUAGAUCAGGAUCAAUGCGUUGCAGCUCUUCUCAAGUGAUCCAGGUAUCUUUAGACUCCGGUCGACCUCGCCAUCUGACCAGAUACCGCUGAUAGCCUCGACUCCGGGUGGAAAGGAUCUGCUCAUCCAAAAUUCUCUCAAUUUGAUCAUGUUUUGCUGAUAUUUUGGCUGGUGGACACUCAGAGAUAGGUUCGCUCUCAAAGGUUGGUUCAGGCUCAAAUGGCUCACUAGGUAUCCGAGUUGGUUUUUUAUAGGCGACAAGAUCUGUAACGUUAAAAGUAAAGCUAAUUCCAAAAUCAGAAGGUAGGUC